GAUGAACGCUGGCGGCGUGCCUAAUACAUGCAGGUCGAGCGAACAGACGAGAGUGCUUGCACUCUCUGACGUUAGCGGCGGACGGGUGAGUAACACGUGGGUAACCUACCUAUAAGACUGGGAUAACUUCGGGAAACCGGAGCUAAUACCGGAUAAUAUUUAGCUUCGCAUGACGCAAUAGUGAAAGACGGUUCUGCUGUCACUUAUAGAUGGACCCGCGGUGUAUUAGCUAGUUGGUGAGGUAACGGCUCACCAAGGCAACGAUACAUAGCCGACCUGAGAGGGUGAUCGGCCACACUGGGACUGAGACACGGCCCAGACUCCUACGGGAGGCAGCAGUAGGGAAUCUUCCGCAAUGGGCGAAAGUCUGACGGAGCAAUGCCGCGUGAGUGAAGAAGGUUUUCGGAUCGUAAAACUCUGUUGUAAGGGAAGAACAAGUACGUUAGUAACUGAACGUACCUUGACAGUACCUUACCAGAAAGCCACGGCUAACUACGUG
Molecule: ribosomal RNA, 499 nt
Filed under: uncultured bacterium
Lineage: Bacteria
Description: partial 16S ribosomal RNA
Rfam family: Bacterial small subunit ribosomal RNA
Source: RNAcentral